RNAcentral lists this ribosomal RNA (393 nucleotides) under uncultured bacterium. RNAcentral's name for it is "bacterial SSU rRNA". It matches the Rfam family "Bacterial small subunit ribosomal RNA", at positions 28 to 424 of the family's 1533-position model. The record is from RNAcentral.
GACGAACGCUGGCGGCGUGUUUAACACAUGCAAGUCGAGCGGUAAGGCCCUUUCGGGGGUACACGAGCGGCGAACGGGUGAGUAACACGUGGGUGACCUGCCCUCAGCUCUGGGAUAAGCCUGGGAAACCGGGUCUAAUACUGGAUAUGACUCCAUGACGCAUGUUGUGGGGUGGAAAGCCUUGUGCGGCUGAGGAUGGGCCCGCGGCCUAUCAGCUUGUUGGUGGGGUGANGGCCUACCAAGGCGACGACGGGUAGCCGGCCUGAGAGGGCGACCGGCCACACUGGGACUGAGACACGGCCCAGACUCCUACGGGAGGCAGCAGUGGGGAAUCUUGCGCAAUGGGCGAAAGCCUGACGCAGCGACGCCGCGUGAGGGAUGACGGCCUCGGUU